This 5915-nucleotide transfer RNA is filed under the name Sus scrofa (pig). Its description in RNAcentral is "lncRNA (ENSSSCG00030048658.1)". The stretch from base 1221 to 1294 matches the Rfam family "tRNA". Lineage: Eukaryota; Metazoa; Chordata; Mammalia; Artiodactyla; Suidae. The record is from RNAcentral.
GGACAGCAGUGGCCACAGGUCCAGGCUGACCAGUGGGCUGGAAGCGGCUGCCCUAGGCAAGGAAUGAGACUGCAGGCCUUCCAUUUCGCCUAUACUGGUGGUUAGACCUUGGCAAUGUCAAGGCAGGAGCCCUGUCAUGUGUAUUUGGGCCCAAGGAGAAGUGGCCCAGGCUCCUGUCCUCUCUGGCACAUUUCUGGGGAGGCUGAAGGGUAGAGAAUGACGCUUUGGAGCAUCACCCUGAGACUGGGACUAAAGUCUACCAGGGCCAGGGGAACCGAGAAGAGCAGGCUGCAGAGGUGGCUCCGCCUGCCUGGGGCAGGCAAGAAACCCAAGACGCUGGUCAGGCUUGAUGUCUGGGUGCUUCUGGCAACCUGCUGCGCCAUUGUCUGGCUGAAUAAGUGGCAUCCAUGGCAUGCAGAAGUGUUGGGACCAGGGAUCAAACUCAGAUCACAGCAAUGACAGCACCUUAACCCGCUGUGGCACCAGGGAACUCCGAGGGUAGUGGGUUUUUAAAGUGUGGAACCUGGAUCAUCAGCAUUAUCUGGGACCUUACUGAAAUGCAAAAUCUCAGAUGAUUCAAAGCCACUGAACCAGCAACUCCAGGGGUGGGGACAGCAAUUCUCAUCCUCCAGGUGAUUCUUACACACAAUCAAGUUGAAGAAACAAUGGACUGCUCCAGGGAAUGCAGGGAGGGGAGGGGCUCUUUCCAGACACUGAUUUCCAUCCCACAGCCCAAGAACAAAUAAUAUUCUAUUAAUCACGACAACUUUAAAAUAGGAUGGAAAGGAGUUCCUACUGUGGUACAAUGGGAUGUGUGGCGUCUCUGCAGCACCAGGAUACAAGUUUGAUUCCCAGCCCCUGGCCUUGGGAGCUCCAUAUGCCUCGGAAACAGAAUGGAAGAAAAAAAAAAAAGCAUAGAAAGUCAACAAUCAUCCAAAGUCUGAUCACUAACAAAGCAGUUAUUUUCAUUUUUCCAUUUUGCUACACAGUUCACAACUAUUUAACAAAUGCACUAUAUUCAGCCAUGUGGAUAUAGCCUAAUUUAUUUAACUCUGCCAUUUAGGAUGAUCUCAAGUUUUUCAUCAUAACUAAGUAGAAAAAUUUGUUGAGGAAUGUAUGCUAUACUAUAUCUUAAUAACUUUUAUGGGAUUAGGCAAUCGAUAUUCUUUGCAGAGAAUUUGAAAAAUUCAGAACAUUAUAAAAGUCAGCCUUAUUAGAGUUCCCUGGUGGUCUAGCAGGUUAAAGAUCUGGCAUUGUCACUGCUGUGGCACAGGUUCCAUUCCUGGCCUAGGAACUUCCACAUGCUGCAGGCAUGGCAAAAAGUAAUAAUAAUAAUUAUUUAAUCAACUAUGAUCCCAACUCCUCCUUUUUUGAAAAGGCUGUUCUCACCUCUGAAUUCUUACAUUCCUACAACUUCACCUCCUGUCAGUUCUUGCUUUGUAUUUAAUGGCUGUUUGUCUUUUCUAUACUCUUUCAUUGUAGUAUUAUUGAAACAAAGACCAUACCCUUUUCAUCUCGAUAAUAACCAUAAAAGCUACUUUUUAUUGGGUGCCUGGUCUGUACUAGGCAUAAUACAAUAUUAUCUCACUGAAUUCCCACAGGCUGUGUUUUAUUUCCUUUGACUAUAUGAGUAAAGUGAGACUAAAAUAAAAAUAAAAAAUAGAGUGAGGUUGAAUUAGAUUAAAUAACUUGCGCAGGGUCACUCAGCUUGUAAAUAGCAGACCUGGAACAGAAACUGAUACACACACACACACACACACACACACACACACAUAUAUAUAUAUAUAUAUAUGUAUAUGUUCUUUUCCCUUAUAGGCUAUUAUAAAAUAUUGAGUAUAUUUCCCUGUGCUAUUAAGUAUGUCCUUUUUAGUUAUCCACUUUAUAUAUAGCAGUGUGUAUAUGUUAAUCCCAAACUCCUAAUUUAUCCCUCCCCCCCACCCCAGCUUCCCCUUUGGUAACCAUAAUUUUGUUUUGUUUUCUUUUUUAAAAAAUUUUUUAUAGCCACACCUGUAGCAUAUGGAAGUUCCUACGCUAAGGGGUGAAUCAGAGCUGUGGUCACCAGCCUAUACCACAGCCACAGCAACGCUGGAUCCCAACCACAUCUGUGACCUGCACCGCAGCUUGCAGCCAAAUACCAGAUACUUAACCCACUGAGCGAGGCCAGGGAUCAAACCCACAUCUUCAUGGAUACUAACCAGGUUCAUAACCCACUGAGCCACAAUGGGAACCCCACCAUAAGCUUGUUUUCUAUGUCUGUGGGUCUAUUUCUGUUUUGUACAUAAGUUCAUUUAUAUCAUUUUUUUUAACCUUCCACAUGUAAAUGAUACCAUAUAUGUCUUCCACUGUUUGACUUACUUCACUUAGUAUAAUAAUCUCUAGGUGCAUCCAUCUUGCUGCAAAUGGCAUUAUUUCAUUCUUUUUUGUGGCUGAGUAGUAUUCCAUAGUGUGUAUGUGUGUGUGUGUGUGUGUGUGUGUGUGUGUGCACGUACACAUACAUACCACAUCUUCUUUACUCCUCUGUUGAUGGACAUUUAGGUUGCUGCAAUGAACAUUGAGGUGCAUGUAUCGUUUUCAAUUAUGGUUUUCUCCAAAUAUAUGCCCAAGAGUUAGGAUUGCUAAAUCAUAUAAUAGCAUUAUUUUUAGUUUUUUAAGGAACCUCCAUGCUGUUCUCCAUAGUUGUUGUACCAAUUUACAUUUCCACCAACAGUCCUUUUUCCCCACACCUUCUCUAACAUUUAUUAUUUGUAGAGUUUUUGAUGCUGGCCAUUCUGAUGAUAUGAGAUGAUGGAUAACUCAUUGUAGUUUUGACUUGCGUUUCCCUAAUAAUUAGUGAUGUUGAGCAUCUUUUCAGGUGACUUUUGGCCAUCUGUAUGUCUUCUUUGGAGAAAUGUCUAUUUAGAUCUUCUGCCUUCCUUUUUUUUUUUUCUUCUUAGGGCCAUGCCUGUAGCAUAUGGAAGUUCCCAGGCUAGGGGUUGAAUCAGAGAUGUAGCUGUGGGCCUGCACCACAGCCACAGCCACACGGGAUCCAAGCAGUGUCUUCAACCUAUACCACAGCUCAUGACAAUGCCAGAUCCUUAACCCAAUAAGUGAGGCCAGAGAUCAAACCCGCAUCCUCAUGGAUACUAGUCAGUUUUGUUACUGCUGAGCCAUGAUGGGAACUCCCCCCAUUUUUAAAUUGGACUGUUUUGUUUUGUUGUGGGUUUGUUUUUUGUUUUUGUUUUUAUUUUUGCUUUAUAGGGCCAUGCUCUCGGCAUAUGGAAGUUCCUAGGCUAGGGGUCGAAUUGGAGCUACAGCUGCAGGCCUACACCACAGCCACAGCAAUGCCAGAUCCAAGCUAUGUCUGUGACCUACACCACAGCUCGUGGCAAUGCCAGAUCCUUAACCUAAUGAGAAAGGCCAGGGAUCGGACCCCCAUCCUUACUAGUGGGGUUCUUAACCGGCUGAGCCACAACAGGAACUCGACUGUUUUUUUGAUAUUGAGCUGUAUGAACUGUUUGUAUAUUUUGGAAAUUAAUCCUUUGUCACAAUUUUUGCAAAUAUUUUCACCCGUUCCGUAGGCUGAUUUUUGUUUUCUUUAUGUUUUCCUUGGCUGUGCAAGAGCUUUUGAUUAGUUGCCAUUUGUUUAUUUUCAUUUUUAUUUCCAUUACUCUAGGAGAUGGAUCCAUAAAUAUAUUACUGUGAUUUAUGUAAGAGAGUGUUCUGCCUAUUUUCCUCUAGGAGUUUUAUAGUGUCCAGUUUUAUGUUUAGGUCUUUAAUCCUUUUUGAGUUUAUUUUUGUGUAUGGUGUUAGAACAUGUUCUUAUUUUAUUCUUUUACAUGUAGCUGCCCAAUUUUCCCCACACCACUUAUUGAAGAGACUAUCUUUUUCUCCAUUGUAUAUUCUUGCCUCUUUUGUCAUAGAUUAAUUGACCAUAGGUGUGUGGAUUUAUUUCUGGACUUUCUAUCCUGUUCCAUUGAUUUAUAUGUCUGUUUUUGUGCCAGUACCAUACUGUUUUUAUGACUAUAGCUUUGUAGUAUAGUACACAUUUAUUUAUUUAUUUAGCUUUUUUUUUUUUUUUUUUUUUUUUNGGAAGUUCCCAGGCUGGGGUCAAAUUGAAGCUACAGCUGCUAACAUUCACCACAGCCAUAGCAACGUGAGAUCUGAGUUGUCUCUGUGACCUACACCAUGGCUCACAGUAAUGCCAGAUCGCUGACCCACUGAGCAAGGCCAGGGAUCGAACCCAAAUCCUCAUGGAUUCUAGUUGGAUUCAUUUCCAGACACCGUGAAGGGAACUCCCACAUUCAGAUUUUUAGAUGUCCAAUAGGAAAAGGAAAUAUCUCUUUCGGGCUCUUUCUUAGGAAACUGGACCACUUGGACCCCUCUCCAGAAGCUCUUGGCAGACCUCCCCAUUCAUCUCAUGGGCCAGGACCAAGCCAUAAGUUUGUCCCUAUUUGCUGGCAAAAAAAAUGAGACCAUCAUGGCUGGCUCAGACUAACUGGUGUCUGCCCCGGAUUGGGGUCAGGGUCUCUGCAGUAUUUGAGUUACUUGCAUCGCUGAAGAAAAUUAAGGUUCUCUGAAGAAGGAAGGCUGGGGGAAAUGGCUGGGGGAAAUGGCUAACAUGAUCAUCUUAGAGGGAAAGGUACCCAAAAAUUAAUGUACGUGAGCUAAAGUGAAAGCAAUUUGGAGAUCUCCCCCCGCCCCCCGGACUUGGAAUAUUAUUAUUUGUCUUUAAGUCUGUCAAUAGUUGGUAAGUAAAUCAGUUAAAUGUAAACUGCCAAAUGUGUUUUAGUGACGACGAAGUGACUUUAGGGAAAGAAAAGAGGUUCAAAUGUAUGGCCUUGAGACUGGGCUGCUGUCAGGAGCAGAGGUUAAUUCGCUGUCAGGUCCCUUCUCUCUCUUCAACUUUCUGGUCUCCCUAGGACCUCCCUGCCUCCCUUGCAUGUCUCCCUGGUGCUGCUCUAUCAACUGCUCCCUCAGGCACUGGCCCCCUCCAGGAUUUGGUGGUCACCAGGGCCCCUCCGACCCCUACUCCUGCUGUAAAUUAACAACCUCUCUUGGAAAUCCCUAAUUCCAAGCUCCAAGAGAGGUGACUCUGGGGCCACUAAUCCUGUCAUGACAGCCAUCUCUGAGGUUGCUGGCCUGACCAGCAUCUGGAAGAGAUGCCCUGGGUUCAUGAGCUACCCUGGGUCCAAUCAGCUCUGACCAAGGAAGGGAGUAGGGUCAUUUGUUACAAAAAUUUCCUGUUGAGAUCUGGCCCUUGAAGGCUGUGGCAGGGGCAGGGGAGAGGGAGUGAAACUGGGCAUGUCCCAUUAGAAGGUUUGACGCUUGGAGUUCAUGUUGCUUUUCUUUUUUUUCUUUCUUUUUUUCCCUUAAUUUAUUUUAUUGAAGUAUAGGUGAUUUACAAUGUUGUGUUAAUUUCUGCUGUACAGCAAAGUGAUUUAGUUAUACAUAUAUAUAUAUAUAUAUUCUUUUCAUAUUUGUUUCCAUUAUGGUUUAUCAUAGGAUAUUGAAUAUAGUUCUCUGUGCUGUAUAACAAGGAAGACCUUGUUAUUAUCCAUUUCUACAUGUAAUAGUUUGCAUCUGCUAAUCCCAAACUCCCACUCCAUCCCUCCCCCACCCCACCCCACUUGGCAACCACAAGUCUGUUCAUUUUGCUUUUCUAUAGCCAAACUUAUACUCCAGGUAUGUCAGCUCCUUAUCUCAUUCAAAUAUGCAAGCUGGUUGGUCUAAUCAUCCUCAGGGGCGGUUAUCCUCCAGGGUUUAUCCAACUUUAAUGAGCAUGCAAGUCACCUGUGUCUGGUUAAAAAUGCAGAUGUGGGAGUUCCCUUGUGGCUCAGUGGAUUAAGGAUCCUGCAUUGUCCCUGCUGCAGCUUGGAUUGCUGCUAUGGCGCUGGUUUGAUCCCUGACUGGGGAAAUUCGACAUGCCACAGACUCAG